RNAcentral lists this ribosomal RNA (454 nucleotides) under uncultured bacterium. RNAcentral describes it as "bacterial SSU rRNA". It matches the Rfam family "Bacterial small subunit ribosomal RNA", at positions 8 to 467 of the family's 1533-position model. The record is from RNAcentral.
AGAGUUUGAUCCUGGCUCAGGAUGAACGCUAGCGGGAGGCCUAACACAUGCAAGUCGAACGGGAUUGAGAGCUUGCUCUCAUGAGAGUGGCGCACGGGUGAGUAACGCGUAUGCAACCUACCUAUAACUGAGGGAUAGCCCAUAGAAAUGUGGAUUAAUACCUCAUAGUUCUUUUGUUCCGCAUGGGAUGAAAGAUGAAGCUCCGGCGGUUAUAGAUGGGCAUGCGUGACAUUAGCUAGUUGGUAAGGUAACGGCUUACCAAGGCUACGAUGUCUAGGGGUUCUGAGAGGAUGAUCCCCCACACUGGUACUGAGACACGGACCAGACUCCUACGGGAGGCAGCAGUGAGGAAUAUUGGUCAAUGGGCGCAAGCCUGAACCAGCCAUCCCGCGUGCAGGAUGAAGGCCCUAUGGGUCGUAAACUGCUUUUAUACACCAAGAAAAACACCCACGUG